CUAUUAAUUACCUAGAGAUACUGUUGAAUUCAGGUUCUAAUUCAGUAGGUCUGAAGUAGGACUAGAGAUUCUGUCUUUCUGACGAACUCUCCAGUAAUUCUAAU
This 104-nucleotide microRNA precursor is filed under the name Marmota monax (woodchuck). Lineage: Eukaryota; Metazoa; Chordata; Mammalia; Rodentia; Sciuridae. The record is from RNAcentral.